RNAcentral lists this signal recognition particle RNA (295 nucleotides) under Propithecus coquereli (Coquerel's sifaka). RNAcentral describes it as "Metazoan signal recognition particle RNA (ENSPCOG00000010705.1)". It matches the Rfam family "Metazoan signal recognition particle RNA". From Rfam's summary of the family: The signal recognition particle (SRP) is a universally conserved ribonucleoprotein. It is involved in the co-translational targeting of proteins to membranes. The eukaryotic SRP consists of a 300-nucleotide 7S RNA and six proteins: SRPs 72, 68, 54, 19, 14, and 9. The record is from RNAcentral. Lineage: Eukaryota; Metazoa; Chordata; Mammalia; Primates; Indriidae.
GCCAGGCGCAGUGGUGAGUACCUGUAGUCCCAGCUCUUGAAAGGUUGAGGUGGGAGGAGUGCUUGAGCCCAGGAGUUCUGUGCUGUAGUGUGCUAUGCCGAUUGGUGUCCGAGCUAAUUUCGGCAUCAAUAUGAUGACUUCCUGGGAGCGAGGGACCACGAAGUUGCCCAAAGAAGGGUAACUCGGCAGGUUGGAAAUGGAGCAGGCAAAAAAUCCUGUGCUGAUUGAUAGUGGGAUUGGGCCUGUAAAUAGCCACUGUACUCCAGGCUGGGUAACAUAGCAAGACUCUGUCUCU